GCCCAAGUUUGAUUUUGGAUAAUUGAUGAAAUGUAACACCCAAAAAUUUGCUCCUUUUGAAAUAGAUGAAAAUUGAAUUUAAUUUUGUAUUUUUGAGUUCAUGAAAUAUAGAGAGAUAAUAUUUUUCAGUAAAUUAAAAUUUAUUAUAGGAUUUAGCAACUUGUUUGUGCAAUCCUUUCGAAGCAUUUAUUUUCAUUGUAUUGUGUUUUUGAGCAAAGUCAAAAUAUUUUUUCGAAUUGAUUUGAAACUGCUUUGAAAAGACUUGGAAAUAAAAAAAAUAAACAAAAAGAAAACAAACAAAAGAAAAAGGAAAAAAACCUCUCCCCUCUCCAUCUUUCUGGCCCGAAGGCCCAACCCCUUCCCCUCCCCCUGCUGUCCCCUUCGGCCCAGCGCAGCAGGAAGCCCAGCUCCCUCUCUCGGCCUCGGCCCAACCCAGCGCGCGCUGCCCUUCUCUCCCCCUCUCUUCUGUCACUGGCAAGCUGGCCCCGCAUGGCAGUGACGUCCCUAUCUUCUUCCUCCUGGAGCCGUAUGCGACAGGGACUCCCAGAGGGAAAUCGAUCCCGGGUACUCGGGAUUUCCCUUGCCCAACAGCUCAACCGAGCACCCUAUAAGAACCGCGACCCUUCCCCGAUGUUUCUUUUCCCAUCUACAAGUUCCAGGGAAGACCCAGCCGCGGCACCACCUUGUUUAGUCUCGCUGAGCCGGCCGUCAUCGUUGUCCUCGCUCCUGGUGCUCGAAGACCCUCCACAAACCACUCCUCG
RNAcentral lists this long non-coding RNA (761 nucleotides) under Sorghum bicolor (sorghum). RNAcentral's name for it is "long non-coding RNA (SBIC_LNC011039)". The record is from RNAcentral. Lineage: Eukaryota; Viridiplantae; Streptophyta; Magnoliopsida; Poales; Poaceae.